Molecule: transfer RNA, 69 nt
Filed under: Ictidomys tridecemlineatus (thirteen-lined ground squirrel)
Lineage: Eukaryota; Metazoa; Chordata; Mammalia; Rodentia; Sciuridae
Description: Spermophilus tridecemlineatus (thirteen-lined ground squirrel) tRNA
Rfam family: tRNA
About the family: Transfer RNA (tRNA) molecules are approximately 80 nucleotides in length.
Source: Rfam by way of RNAcentral
GGGGUUGUGGCUCAGUGGUAGAGCGCUUGCCUAGCAUGUGCAAGACGCUGGGUACAAUCCUCAGCACCA